This is a non-coding RNA of Pimephales promelas (fathead minnow), 577 nucleotides long. NCBI's taxonomy places the organism in Eukaryota, Metazoa, Chordata, Actinopteri, Cypriniformes, Leuciscidae. The record is from RefSeq and is a predicted model, not a curated record.
UAUUUCCAUUGUUAUUCAACUUUUAGGUGGAGUUUGAAGGAGAGGCAGGAAAAGCCAAUGAUAUGAUCUCGUUCCUCUGCUUAUGAAAAACUUCAGCAGCUGUUUUCUCCUGAGCUCACAUUCCCCUUUCUUGAAUGUUCAAUAUUUAGAGAUAUCCAGAUGCUGGGUUUUCGGGGAGAAAUUAAGAAAAACUACUUCGAAGAGUCUCAGUUGGGGAAAAAGUUUGGAGAUGAGAAAACUACAGGAAAUGAGACCAUUUCAAAAGAUGUAAAAUCAUUUCCCUGCUGGUGUUGAACCUCUAACACACGGAGGGUCAGCUGUGUCGGACCAGGAAUGAAAACAAUCAUCUCGCGCGGGACCACUUCUCUCAUCUGACAUUUAUUUAACACUGGGGCUCAAAGAAAACAAAAUACCAUCCGAAUGCAAUGACUCACAGUCACAGACACAGGUGGCCACAAAAUCUUCACAAACAUCUUUAAAGAUCACGAGAACAGUAAAUCUGACGAAUCACGUCAUCGCACUCGCUGAGAAGAAAAGAAAACAAAUAAAUAUCUUCUUCAAACAUCUUACCUCCUUC